GGGGGGGGGGGGGGGGGGGGGUGGCAGGGGGGGGUGGGAGGGGGGGGGGGGGGGUGGGUGGGGUGCUGGAGUGGCGCGCGGGUGGGUAACACGUGGGUAACCUGGGCUUGACUUUGGGGUGACUUCAGGGAACUGGGGCUACUAGCGGAAAGGAGGUCCUGCUGCAUGGUGGGGGUUGGACAGUUUCGGCGGUUGGGGAUGGACUCGCGGCUUAUCAGCUGGUUGGUGGGGUGGUGGCUUACCAAGGCUUGGACGGGUAGCCGGCCUGAUAGGGUGACCGGCCACAUUGGGACUGAGAUACGGCCCAGACUCCUACGGGAGGCAGCAGUGGGGAAUAUUGCACAAUGGGCGGAAGCCUGAUGCAGCAACGCCGCGUGCGGGAUGACGGCCUUCGGGUUGUAAACCGCUUUCGCCUGUGACGAAGCGUGAGUGACGGUAAUGGGUAAAGAAGCACCGGCUAACUACGUG
RNAcentral lists this ribosomal RNA (468 nucleotides) under uncultured bacterium. RNAcentral describes it as "partial 16S ribosomal RNA". The stretch from base 58 to 468 matches the Rfam family "Bacterial small subunit ribosomal RNA", at positions 39 to 507 of the family's 1533-position model. The record is from RNAcentral.